UACGGGAGGCAGCAGUGGGGAAUUUUGGACAAUGGGCGAAAGCCUGAUCCAGCCAUGCCGCGUGAGUGAUGAAGGCCCUAGGGUUGUAAAGCUCUUUCACCGGUGAAGAUAAUGACAGUACCGGGAGAAUAAGCUCCGGCUAACUCCGUGCCAGCAGCCGCGGUAAU
Molecule: ribosomal RNA, 167 nt
Filed under: uncultured bacterium
Lineage: Bacteria
Description: partial 16S ribosomal RNA
Rfam family: Bacterial small subunit ribosomal RNA
Source: RNAcentral